This 2920-nucleotide ribosomal RNA is filed under the name Escherichia coli. RNAcentral's name for it is "23S ribosomal RNA". It matches the Rfam family "Bacterial large subunit ribosomal RNA". Lineage: Bacteria; Pseudomonadati; Pseudomonadota; Gammaproteobacteria; Enterobacterales; Enterobacteriaceae. The record is from RNAcentral.
GGGUUGUGAGGUUAAGCGACUAAGCGUACACGGUGGAUGCCCCGCAGUCAGAGGCGAUGAAGGACGUGCUAAUCUGCGAUAAGCGUCGGUGAGGUGAUAUGAACCGUUAUAACCGGCGAUUUCCGAAUGGGGAAACCCAGUGUGUUUCGACACACUAUCAUUAACUGAAUCCAUAGGUUAAUGAGGCGAACCGGGGAACUGAAACAUCUAAGUACCCCGAGGAAAAGAAAUCAACCGAGAUUCCCCAGUAGCGGCGAGCGAACGGGGAGGAGCCCAGAGCCUGAAUCAGUGUGUGUGUUAGUGGAAGCGUCUGGAAAGGCGCGCGAUACAGGGUGACAGCCCCGUACACAAAAAUGCACAUAUUGUGAGCUCGAUGAGUAGGGCGGGACACGUGGUAUCCUGUCUGAAUAUGGGGGACCAUCCUCCAAGGCUAAAUACUCCUGACUGACCGAUAGUGAACCAGUACCGUGAGGGAAAGGCGAAAAGAACCCCGGCGAGGGGAGUGAAAAAGAACCUGAAACCGUGUACGUACAAGCAGUGGGAGCCUCUUAAUGGGGUGACUGCGUACCUUUUGUAUAAUGGGUCAGCGACUUAUAUUCUGUAGCAAGGUUAACCGAAUAGGGGAGCCGAAGGGAAACCGAGUCUUAACUGGGCGUUAAGUUGCAGGGUAUAGACCCGAAACCCGGUGAUCUAGCCAUGGGCAGGUUGAAGGUUGGGUAACACUAACUGGAGGACCGAACCGACUAAUGUUGAAAAAUUAGCGGAUGACUUGUGGCUGGGGGUGAAAGGCCAAUCAAACCGGGAGAUAGCUGGUUCUCCCCGAAAGCUAUUUAGGUAGCGCCUCGUGAAUUCAUCUCCGGGGGUAGAGCACUGUUUCGGCAAGGGGUCAUCCCGACUUACCAACCCGAUGCAAACUGCGAAUACCGGAGAAUGUUAUCACGGGAGACACACGGCGGGUGCUAACGUCCGUCGUGAAGAGGGAAACAACCCAGACCGCCAGCUAAGGUCCCAAAGUCAUGGUUAAGUGGGAAACGAUGUGGGAAGGCCCAGACAGCCGGGAUGUUGGCUUAGAAGCAGCCAUCAUUUAAAGAAAGCGUAAUAGCUCACUGGUCGAGUCGGCCUGCGCGGAAGAUGUAACGGGGCUAAACCAUGCACCGAAGCUGCGGCAGCGACACUAUGUGUUGUUGGGUAGGGGAGCGUUCUGUAAGCCUGUGAAGGUGGCCUGUGAGGGUUGCUGGAGGUAUCAGAAGUGCGAAUGCUGACAUAAGUAACGAUAAAGCGGGUGAAAAGCCCGCUCGCCGGAAGACCAAGGGUUCCUGUCCAACGUUAAUCGGGGCAGGGUGAGUCGACCCCUAAGGCGAGGCCGAAAGGCGUAGUCGAUGGGAAACAGGUUAAUAUUCCUGUACUUGGUGUUACUGCGAAGGGGGGGGACGGAGAAGGCUAUGUUGGCCGGGCGACGGUUGUCCCGGUUUAAGCGUGUAGGCUGGUUUUCCGUGCAAAUCCGGAAAAUCAAGGCUGAGGCGUGAUGACGAGGCACUACGGUGCUGAAGCGACAAAUGCCCUGCUUCCGGGAAAAGCCUCUAAGCAUCAGGUAACAUCAAAUCGUACCCCAAACCGACACAGGUGGUCAGGUAGAGAAUACCAAGGCGCUUGAGAGAACUCGGGUGAAGGAACUAGGCAAAAUGGUGCCGUAACUUCGGGAGAAGGCACGCUGAUAUGUAGGUGAAGCGACUUGCUCGUGGAGCUGAAAUCAGUCGAAGAUACCAGCUGGCUGCAACUGUUUAUUAAAAACACAGCACUGUGCAAACACGAAAGUGGACGUAUACGGUGUGACGCCUGCCCGGUGCCGGAAGGUUAAUUGAUGGGGUUAGCGGUAACGCGAAGCUCUUGAUCGAAGCCCCGGUAAACGGCGGCCGUAACUAUAACGGUCCUAAGGUAGCGAAAUUCCUUGUCGGGUAAGUUCCGACCUGCACGAAUGGCGUAAUGAUGGCGGGCUGUCUCCACCCGAGACUCAGUGAAAUUGAACUCGCUGUGAAGAUGCAGUGUACCCGCGGCAAGACGGAAAGACCCCGUGAACCUUUACUAUAGCUUGACACUGAACAUUGAGCCUUGAUGUGUAGGAUAGGUGGGAGGCUUUGAAGUGUGGACGCCAGUCUGCAUGGAGCCGACCUUGAAAUACCACCCUUUAAUGUUUGAUGUUCUAACGUGGGCCCCUUACCGGGGUUGCGGACAGUGUCUGGUGGGUAGUUUGACUGGGGCGGUCUCCUCCUAAAGAGUAACGGAGGAGCACGAAGGUUGGCUAAUCCCGGUCGGACAUCAGGAGGUUAGUGCAAUGGCAUAAGCCAGCUUGACUGCGAGCGUGACGGCGCGAGCAGGUGCGAAAGCAGGUCAUAGUGAUCCGGUGGUUCUGAAUGGAAGGGCCAUCGCUCAACGGAUAAAAGGUACUCCGGGGAUAACAGGCUGAUACCGCCCAAGAGUUCAUAUCGACGGCGGUGUUUGGCACCUCGAUGUCGGCUCAUCACAUCCUGGGGCUGAAGUAGGUCCCAAGGGUAUGGCUGUUCGCCAUUUAAAGUGGUACGCGAGCUGGGUUUAGAACGUCGUGAGACAGUUCGGUCCCUAUCUGCCGUGGGCGCUGGAGAACUGAGGGGGCUGCUCCUAGUACGAGAGGACCGGAGUGGACGCAUCACUGGUGUUCGGGUUGUCAUGCCAAUGGCACUGCCCGGUAGCUAAAUGCGGAAGAGAUAAGUGCUGAAAGCAUCUAAGCACGAAACUUGCCCCGAGAUGAGUUCUCCCUGACUCCUUGAGAGUCCUGAAGGAACGUUGAAGACGACGACGUUGAUAGGCCGGGUGUGUAAGCGCAGCGAUGCGUUGAGCUAACCGGUACUAAUGAACCGUGAGGCUUAACCUUACAACGCCGAAG